ACGUAGGAGGCGAGCGUUAUCCGGAUUUACUGGGCGUAAAGCGUGUGCAGGCGGUUGAGAAAGUUGGAUGUGAAAGCUCCUGGCUUAACUGGGAGAGGUCGUUCAAAACUACUUGACUAGAGAGUGGGAGAGGGAGGUGGAAUUCCGGGUGUAGUGGUGAAAUGCGUAGAUAUCCGGAGGAACACCAGUGGCGAAAGCGGCCUCCUGGCCCAUUUCUGACGCUCAUACACGAAAGCUAGGGGAGCGAACGGGAUUAGAGACCCCGGUAGUCCUAGCUGUAAACGAUGUGAACUUGGCGUCGGAGGGUUUAAAUCCUUCGGUGCCGAAGCUAACGCGAUAAGUUCACCGCCUGGGGACUACGGCCGCAAGGUUA
This 373-nucleotide ribosomal RNA is filed under the name uncultured bacterium. RNAcentral's name for it is "bacterial SSU rRNA". It matches the Rfam family "Bacterial small subunit ribosomal RNA", at positions 525 to 896 of the family's 1533-position model. The record is from RNAcentral.